RNAcentral lists this ribosomal RNA (492 nucleotides) under uncultured bacterium. RNAcentral's name for it is "partial 16S ribosomal RNA". It matches the Rfam family "Bacterial small subunit ribosomal RNA", at positions 29 to 507 of the family's 1533-position model. The record is from RNAcentral.
AGUGAACGCUGGCGGUAGGCCUAACACAUGCAAGUCGAACGGCAGCACAGUAAGAGCUUGCUCUUACGGGUGGCGAGUGGCGGACGGGUGAGGAAUACAUCGGAAUCUACUUUUUCGUGGGGGAUAACGUAGGGAAACUUACGCUAAUACCGCAUACGACCUACGGGUGAAAGCAGGGGAUCUUCGGACCUUGCGCGAUUGAAUGAGCCGAUGUCGGAUUAGCUAGUUGGCGGGGUAAAGGCCCACCAAGUCGACGAUCCGUAGCUGGUCUGAGAGGAUGAUCAGCCACACUGGAACUGAAACACGGUCCAGACUCCUACGGGAGGCAGCAGUGGGGAAUAUUGGACAAUGGGCGCAAGCCUGAUCCAGCCAUACCGCGUGGGUGAAGAAGGCCUUCGGGUUGUAAAGCCCUUUUGUUGGGAAAGAAAAGCAGCAGGUUAAUACCCCGCUGUUCUGACGGUACCCAAAGAAAAAGCACCGGCUAACUUCGUG